UACGUAGGGGGCGAGCGUUGUCCGGAAUCAUUGGGCGUAAAGCGCGUGUAGGCGGCCCGGUAAGUCCGCUGUGAAAGUCCAGGGCUCAACCCUGGGAUGCCGGUGGAUACUGUCGGGCUCGAGUCCGGAAGAGGCGAGUGGAAUUCCUGGUGUAGCGGUGAAAUGCGCAGAUAUCAGGAGGAACACCUGCGGCGAAGGCGGGUUGCUGGGCCGACACUGACGCUGAGGCGCGAAAGCCAGGGGAGCGAACGGG
This 253-nucleotide ribosomal RNA is filed under the name uncultured bacterium. Its description in RNAcentral is "partial 16S ribosomal RNA". It matches the Rfam family "Bacterial small subunit ribosomal RNA", at positions 524 to 776 of the family's 1533-position model. The record is from RNAcentral.